RNAcentral lists this unclassified non-coding RNA (4138 nucleotides) under Hevea brasiliensis (rubber tree). The record is from RNAcentral. Lineage: Eukaryota; Viridiplantae; Streptophyta; Magnoliopsida; Malpighiales; Euphorbiaceae.
CCUCUCUCUGUCUCUCUCUCUCUAAAAAUUCCCGUAUACGUUGCUUUCCCUAUACUUCAAAUGGCUGAUACGUAAUCUCUUUAUAGAGACAAUUAACAUAUACACAUUGCAACCAAACAACAUACCUCAACCAAGCCCAAGCUACUACAGCUAAACAGAAUCAUUCACUGCCAUUGAAGCUCCUCCAAGCUCAACUGCUCGCCCUCUUCAACCACCAUUUUUAUCCUUCUCUUUGUAACAAACAACCAAAACCCACUUCCUUUCUCUUUUUCCAGACCUGGGUUUUAUUCAAUUUCGUCUCUUUUUUUACUUCUUUUGCUCGUUAUGGAGCUACCCACUGGACCUGGACAUAGAUCCAGUCCCAUGAGACCUCAAUCUGAGGAUACUGUGUUUGAUUCUCUCCAAUUUGGCGAAGAUAUCCAACACUUAAUCUCCGUGCCGCCGGAAAAUGCCAGCUCCUUCACUGCCCUUCUCGAGUUGCCGCCUAAUCAGGCCGUGGAGCUUUUACACUCGCCUGAUUCGACUCUCAGAACCCGAACCGUUGUCGAGACCCACCAUCAAAAACCGUAUCUACAGCCCCAGUUCAAUGCUGCGAAUUUGGCGUUUCCUACUAACAGUGGUUUGAUAGAGCGAGCCGCAAGAUUGUCGGUGUUCGCUGGUGAGAAUUUGAACAAUAUUAGCAAUAAUUCGCUGGAGACGAGCUCAGGACCGUCGAAUUCCAUUGCGAAUCUCGAGAAAGUAGUUAAGAGUGAACCCGCAGAGGCCGAAUCUGACCUGAAUCCAUCGCAGCCGUUGGUUUCCGAUCCGACGACUGUUGAGAACGGGGCACAGAAUCAGAGGCCGGUGAAGAGGAAGGAGCGAGAGAAGAAGGUAGACAAAAUUAGGGUUUCAACGGUUCUCCCUUUUUCAGUAGCGUUAAUUUUUAGUUUUUUAAACUAAUUAAUUGAGGGUAUUCUAGGGUAAAAGCUCGACAAAGAAGAGUAAAAGUUCCGGGAAUGAUAACUCUGAAGAUGCUGAGAAGCUUCCUUAUGUUCACGUUCGAGCUCGUCGUGGUCAAGCCACAGACAGCCAUAGCUUAGCAGAGAGAGUAAUCUCAUAAAUUAACAACUUAAUUUAGUUAAUUGACCUUUAAUUUGUUUAAUUAGUAAUUAAUUGCCAAAAUUUAAAGCUGAUUGUGACAUGAAUAUGGGUUGUUUCUAGGCGAGGAGAGAGAAGAUCAAUGCAAGGAUGAAGCUACUUCAAGAGCUGGUCCCAGGCUGCAACAAGAUUUCUGGAACAGCAUUGGUACUGGAUGAGAUCAUCAAUCAUGUACAGUCACUACAACGCCAAGUGGAGGUCAGACUUGCAUAUCUGAUGCAUUUAUUUAUUUUUUUAUAGAAAUAAUUAAAAUUCUUGAAAUUGAGGGGAAAUUGAAUUGUGAUUUUUCAUUUUAUUCAUUUAUUUAUUUUGGAGGCAGGGGUGUGUUGGGAUUUGUGAAAAAUGUUUUGUUCAAUUAUUAAAGGGUCAAGUUGUCUUACUUUAUCACUUGUACAGAGAGGUGGCUGUUUUCUGCACUUUGUGUUGCAGUGGUACAUUAAUAUGUUGGUUCAAUUAUGACUACAGAAAAACAACAACUAAGGCUUAAAUUCUAUUGUGACUAAUGCAUGAUUAUUUUGGACCAUCUAAUUUAUUUAUUUAUUUUGCCAUGUCUCUUGUGCCAUUUCCCCUGCCAAAAGGUACUAGCAUCCAUUGCUUUCCGAUCCUAAUCACCAUGGUAACAAAUCAAGUGCAUAACAAAAUUCCCUCUAUAAUUAAGCAAAGCUGCAUGAAAAGUUGGCAAGCUUCAAGUAUUUUCUGAUUUUAAUGUGUUGAUUAAAUGCCAGUCUUAUUUCUGGUCUAAUGUUUCUUUGGUUUCAGUUCUUAUCAAUGAGACUUGCAGCAGUGAACCCGAGAAUUGAUUUCAAUCUUGACAGUACAUUAGCUGCAGAAGUAAGUAUACUUCUUCACUUAAUCAUAAUUAUUACAAGGGUACAUUAAGUUUUGCCUUUUCCCACAACUAUGCAAAAGUCCAGAUCCAUUGUAGGGGCAUGUUGGAUGGAUUGUGUUCCUGAAGAGAUUUGCAUAUGAAGGUGCAAGUAUGCCUGAAUGUGUAGGUGGAUGACAACCUUAGUAAUAAUAAUGUGAUUGCUUUUUGAGAAUUCCAUCUGUUUGCCUAGAAGAAAAGUUUCCUUCCAUCGGUGCAUGCAAAGCUGUGUGUCCAAUUUGGGCCACACGAUUUCAUCUGCCCACAGAAUUUUAAAUGUAAAGUUGUCCUGAAAUGGUGGGUGCACCUUUAAGGCCCCUUGGACUAUGCACUAUACAGUGGUAUCUUAUCUCGACUUGCCAUGCGGGGGCAGAAAAAACCAAAAUAGAAGGAAAAAAAUGUGAUGCCAUGCGAAUGUAGAUAUUGUAAACGAGUAUUGUGGGGAUUGUAUUUCCUUAAUCAGAUCAGCUAAUUACUACUGAUGGUUGGUAUUUUAUCAUGUUGCUAAUGACUUUUGAUUGUGUUUUAAAACUUGCAGGGUGGAUCUUUAAUGGACAGUAAUUUCCCCAGCAUGGUUAUGCCUCUGACGUGGCCAGAAGUCCAAGUUAAUGGGAACAGACAAAAUUAUCAACAACAAUGGCAUUUUGAUGCAGUUAACCAACCGGUUUGGGGAAGAGAAGAAGACAGCUAUAACUUCAUUACUCCAGAGAACUCCCUUUUGAGUUAUGACUCCUCAGCCAAUUCAGGUAGACUAAAAUUAGCUACAAUUUCUCUUGGAACAAGUACUCCCAUUGUCUCCUAGCAAAUUUCAUUCUCAUUAUCAUGCUGCUUUUUAAAUCUUUUGAAUGGAAAAAGAAUGUCAACAUUGGAUGAUGAAAUCAAAACACAGAAUAUGACUCUAUCACUGAUGAAUUUUCCAGUUCCUGAAAUUAUUUUUGCUAUAUUGUGUGUGAAAUAAACAAAUCAUAUUGGGAUGUGAAGAAUGGCACAGAAAAUUGAUUGCUAUUUGCUAGCUGUCAAUUUUACCUUCUACUGUGUUACCUUAUGUAGUAUAGAUUGAAACCUUGAGACUAACUGCAUAUUGUGAUCAUGGCGCAGCGUCUCUGCACUCGAAUCAAUUGAAAAUGGAGCUGUGAGGGCUGAAUGAAGCUACAUUGAUUGUGUGUAUAUAACCAAAUAUUAGUAAUUAGCAGCAAGUAGAGAGGGAGGCCUCUUACCAUUCAUCUCGGGUUUCCAUGCAGUCUCUUUAACAGAGUGGGUUGGAGACUCUGAAUUCUCUCAACUGGGGUUUCAGAAAUUUCAAUAUGUUAUUCUUAUAUAAAUAUAUAAUUCAGUGCAUAUAUAUAUAUAUACUAACUGUGAGAGUCAUUCAAUCAAAUACUUGAGUUGUGAGAUGAUUGAUUGAUUCAUAUUGUAGAAACGCAUAAUGAUUCAUCAUCCCAUCCCUUAACUAUUGUGGAAGUCUGGCUUCUUUUUGUGUUACAUUUAUUUUAUCCCCUUUUAACAGUUUCACUCCAUAUCUUCAGUUACAACCCACAAGUCCAUUGCUUUUGCUUGAUUAGGAUCUUUAAAAAUAAAACUUACGGGCUAUAUUAACGACCAUAAAUUAAAAAAAAAAGAAUUGGUUAUAUAUAUGGCUAAAUUUUAUCCAUGAAUAUGCAAGAGGCCUUACUAUAAAUGUCUUUGAAGGUCCUGAAAUGAUAUUUGAUGUCAACAACACCCUGUUGAACGAUUGUCGUGAACAGAAAGGCCAUUAGAGAAGGCCGAAAGGUCCAUGCCCACAUGAUCAAAACAUGUCAUCUCCCACCUCUUUAUCUCAGAACCAGAUUGAUUAUAUUGUAUGCCAAGGCAUGUAUUCGAUGAAAUGCCUGAGAGGAAUGUGGUUUCUUGGGCUGAUGAUUUCAGGUUAUUCUGAGGGAUGGUUUAGCUUUGAAGCCUUGCGUCUUUUUGUGCGGAUGUUGAGAUCAGUAUUCAUCUAUUUUGAGAGGGUUAUUGUAACAUUAUCAAAGUUCAAAUUGGAGUUAUGAUGAUGCGUCUGUGUUACUAGCAUCAGCAAACAAUUAGUGCAGGUACAGAACCAAAUGAGUUCACUUCACUUUUGCUGCAGUACUACUAGUUUCUUGCACAGGUAUUCUC